Molecule: ribosomal RNA, 408 nt
Filed under: uncultured bacterium
Lineage: Bacteria
Description: bacterial SSU rRNA
Rfam family: Bacterial small subunit ribosomal RNA
Source: RNAcentral
AUGCAGUCGACGGGCUCUUCGGAGCAAGUGGCGGACGGGUGAGUAACGCGUGAGAAUGUGCCUUCAGGAUGGGGAUAACAAUAGGAAACUAAUGCUAAGACCCAAUGUGCCUUAAGAGGUGAAAAAUGAAAAUUGCCUGAAGAGGAGCUCGCGUCUGAUUAGCUAGUUGGGGUGGUAAAAGCGCACCAAGGCAACGAUCAGUAGCUGGUCUGAGAGGAUGAGCAGCCACACUGGGACUGAGACACGGCCCAGACUCCUACGGGAGGCAGCAGUGGGGAAUUUUCCGCAAUGGGCGAAAGCCUGACGGAGCAAUACCGCGUGAGGGAGGAAGGCUCUUGGGUUGUAAACCUCAAAACUUAGGGAAGAAAAAAAUGACGGUACCUAAUCUAAGCAUCGGCUAACUCCGUG